RNAcentral lists this ribosomal RNA (754 nucleotides) under Staphylococcus nepalensis. RNAcentral describes it as "bacterial SSU rRNA". It matches the Rfam family "Bacterial small subunit ribosomal RNA", at positions 18 to 753 of the family's 1533-position model. The record is from RNAcentral. Lineage: Bacteria; Bacillati; Bacillota; Bacilli; Caryophanales; Staphylococcaceae.
CAUGGCUCAGGAUGAACGCUGGCGGCGUGCCUAAUACAUGCAAGUCGAGCGAACAGAUAAGGAGCUUGCUCCUUUGACGUUAGCGGCGGACGGGUGAGUAACACGUGGGUAACCUACCUAUAAGACUGGAAUAACUCCGGGAAACCGGGGCUAAUGCUGGAUAAUAUUUAGAACCGCAUGGUUCUAAAGUGAAAGAUGGUUUUGCUAUCACUUAUAGAUGGACCCGCGCCGUAUUAGCUAGUUGGUGGGGUAAUGGCUUACCAAGGCAACGAUACGUAGCCGACCUGAGAGGGUGAUCGGCCACACUGGAACUGAGACACGGUCCAGACUCCUACGGGAGGCAGCAGUAGGGAAUCUUCCGCAAUGGGCGAAAGCCUGACGGAGCAACGCCGCGUGAGUGAUGAAGGUCUUCGGAUCGUAAAACUCUGUUAUUAGGGAAGAACAAAUGUGUAAGUAACUGUGCACGUCUUGACGGUACCUAAUCAGAAAGCCACGGCUAACUACGUGCCAGCAGCCGCGGUAAUACGUAGGUGGCAAGCGUUAUCCGGAAUUAUUGGGCGUAAAGCGCGCGUAGGCGGUUUCUUAAGUCUGAUGUGAAAGCCCACGGCUCAACCGUGGAGGGUCAUUGGAAACUGGGAAACUUGAGUGCAGAAGAGGAAAGUGGAAUUCCAUGUGUAGCGGUGAAAUGCGCAGAGAUAUGGAGGAACACCAGUGGCGAAGGCGACUUUCUGGUCUGUAACUGACGCUGAUGGCG